GAUGAAGAACGUAGCGAAAUGCGAUACGUAAUGUGAAUUGCAGAAUUCAGUGAAUCAUCGAAUCUUUGAACGCAUAUUGCGCUCUCUGGUAUUCCGGAGAGCAUGCUUGUUUGAGUAUCAGUAAACACCUCAACUCCCCUUUCUUUUUUGAAAUGGGAGCUGGACUUGAGUGAUCCCAACGCUUUUCUCACCGAAAAGUGGCGGGUUACUUGAAAUGCAGGUGCAGCUGGACUUUUCUCUGAGCUAAAAGCAUAUCUAUUUAGUCUGCCUAAAAACAGAUUAUUACCUUUGCUGCAGCUAACAUAAAGGAGAUUAGUUCUUGUGCUGACUGAUGCAGGAUUCACAGAGACAGCUUCGGCUGGCCUUUGUAAACUCGAUCUCAAAUCAAGUAAGACUACCCGCUGAACUUAAGCAUAUCAAUAAGCGGAGGA
This 431-nucleotide unclassified non-coding RNA is filed under the name soil metagenome. RNAcentral's name for it is "partial contains 5.8S ribosomal RNA, internal transcribed spacer 2, and large subunit ribosomal RNA". The stretch from base 1 to 120 matches the Rfam family "5.8S ribosomal RNA", at positions 35 to 154 of the family's 154-position model. The record is from RNAcentral.